GAUGAACGCUGGCGGCGUGCUUAACACAUGCAAGUCGAACGGAAAGGCUCCUGCUUGCAGGGGUACUCGAGUGGCGAACGGGUGUGUAACACGUGGGUGAUCUGCCCUGCACUUCGGGAUAAGCCUGGGAAACUGGGUCUAAUACCGGAUAGGACCACAUUUUGGAUGGUGUGGUGGAAAGUUUUUCGGUGUUGGAUGAGCUCGCGGCCUAUCAGCUUGUUGGUGGGGUAAUGGCCUACCAAGGCGUCGACGGGUAGCCGGCCUGAGAGGGUGUACGGCCACAUUGGGACUGAGAUACGGCCCAGACUCCUACGGGAGGCAGCAGUGGGGAAUAUUGCACAAUGGGCGCAAGCCUGAUGCAGCGACGCCGCGUGGGGGAUGACGGCCUUCGGGUUGUAAACUCCUUUCGCUAGGGACGAAGCGCAAGUGACGGUACCUGGAGAAGAAGCACCGGCUAACUACGUG
RNAcentral lists this ribosomal RNA (465 nucleotides) under uncultured bacterium. Its description in RNAcentral is "partial 16S ribosomal RNA". It matches the Rfam family "Bacterial small subunit ribosomal RNA", at positions 28 to 507 of the family's 1533-position model. The record is from RNAcentral.